Molecule: ribosomal RNA, 253 nt
Filed under: uncultured bacterium
Lineage: Bacteria
Description: partial 16S ribosomal RNA
Rfam family: Bacterial small subunit ribosomal RNA
Source: RNAcentral
UACGGAGGGUGCAAGCGUUAUCCGGAUUCACUGGGUUUAAAGGGCGCGUAGGCGGCGUGACAAGUCACUUGUGAAAUCUCCGGGCUUAACCCGGAGCGGCCAAGUGAUACUGUCGUGCUAGAGUGCGGAAGGGGCUACUGGAAUUCUCGGUGUAGCGGUGAAAUGCGUAGAUAUCGAGAGGAACACCUGCGGCGAAGGCGGGUAGCUGGGCCGACACUGACGCUGAGGCGCGAAAGCCAGGGGAGCGAACGGG